AGUGAUGUGAAGUUUUGUUGUACUUUGUUCCGUCAAUUAUGGCAUCUCUCCAAGAAGGCAGCAGGCUCUCGUGUCACAUAUGCAUAUUUAUGAUAAGAUGGGAAACCAAGGCGCAGAGAGUUGAAGAGGCUUGCCAAAAGUCAGACAGAAAGCUGAAAACAGCCAGGAACCGAAUCCAGUACAUUCUUUUCGUUAUGUCCAAACUUUCCCCAUCUGCCAAGGACCUGAUCCUCCAUCAUCAAAGUGAGGGCAAGAUUUCACCUGGGAUCCUACAGGAACAUCAUGAAGGCCAGACUCUUU
Molecule: long non-coding RNA, 300 nt
Organism: Pezoporus flaviventris
Lineage: Eukaryota; Metazoa; Chordata; Aves; Psittaciformes; Psittacidae
Exons: 3
Source: RefSeq, a predicted model, not a curated record